Russula dissimulans is the source of this 119-nucleotide non-coding RNA. The record is from the annotation of a GenBank genome assembly. Lineage: Eukaryota; Fungi; Basidiomycota; Agaricomycetes; Russulales; Russulaceae.
GCCAUCAUAACCGAGUGGGCACGGUAACAGACAUUGUUUGUUCCCUCUUCGGGAUUGUGGACGAAGAAAUUUGCCUGCGUUUCAAGUUGGGGGUGCAGGUUCGAAUCCUGCUGGUGGUC